GUCCUUUUGGAUUUUUAUUUAAGGUCUAGUCUGCCCACUGAAUUUAUAUUUUAAAUGGCCGCAGUAUUUUGACUGUGCAAAGGUAGCAUAAUCAUUAGUUUUUUAAUUAAAAGCUUGUAUGAAAGGCUGGACGAGGUAAAAUCUGUCUCUAUUUAAAUUAUAAUAGAAUUUAACUUUUAAGUUAAAAGGCUUAAAUAUUAUUAAAAGACGAGAAGACCCUAUAGAUCUUUAUAAUUUAUUAAAUGAAAUUAAUUUAGAAGUAUUUAUGUUUUAUUUAAUUAAAUUAUUUUAUUGGGGUAAUAAAAAGAUUGUAUUAAUUCUUUUUUACAAUAAACAUUAAUUUAUGAAUAUUAAUGAUCCAGUUUUACUGAUUAUAAGAUUAAGUUACCUUAGGGAUAACAGCGUAAUUUUUUUAGAGAGUUCAUAUCGAUAAAAAAGUUUGCGACCUCGAUGUUGGAUUAAAGAUUAUUUUAGGUGCAGAAGCUUAAUAAUUUUGGUCUGUUCGACCAUUAAAUCUUUAC
This 521-nucleotide ribosomal RNA is filed under the name Carabus amplipennis pseudosteuarti. RNAcentral's name for it is "partial 16S ribosomal RNA". It matches the Rfam family "Bacterial large subunit ribosomal RNA", at positions 1829 to 2599 of the family's 2925-position model. Lineage: Eukaryota; Metazoa; Arthropoda; Insecta; Coleoptera; Carabidae. The record is from RNAcentral.